Suncus etruscus (white-toothed pygmy shrew) is the source of this 109-nucleotide small nuclear RNA. NCBI's taxonomy places the organism in Eukaryota, Metazoa, Chordata, Mammalia, Eulipotyphla, Soricidae. The record is from RefSeq and is a predicted model, not a curated record.
GUGCUCACUUCGGCAGCACAUUGACUAAAAUUGGAAUGAUACAGAGAUUAACAUGGCCCCUGCUCAAGGACAACAAGGGUCACAAAUUUGUGAAGCGUUCCAUAUUUAA